This 253-nucleotide ribosomal RNA is filed under the name uncultured bacterium. RNAcentral describes it as "partial 16S ribosomal RNA". It matches the Rfam family "Bacterial small subunit ribosomal RNA", at positions 524 to 776 of the family's 1533-position model. The record is from RNAcentral.
UACGAAGGGUGCAAGCGUUAAUCGGAUUUACUGGGCGUAAAGCGCGCGUAGGCGGCUUGAUAAGUCGGAUGUGAAAGCCCCGGGCUCAACCUGGGAAUUGCAUUCGAAACUGUCUCGCUAGAGUAUGGUAGAGGGAAGUGGAAUUCCACAUGUAGCGGUGAAAUGCGUAGAUAUGUGGAGGAACACCAGUGGCGAAGGCGACUUCCUGGCCCAAUACUGACGCUGAGGUGCGAAAGCGUGGGGAGCAAACAGG